RNAcentral lists this small nucleolar RNA (141 nucleotides) under Pongo abelii (Sumatran orangutan). It matches the Rfam family "Small nucleolar RNA SNORA26", at positions 17 to 122 of the family's 122-position model. From Rfam's summary of the family: The snoRNA HBI-6 belong to the H/ACA family of snoRNAs, guiding the pseudouridylation of position U4522 if the 28S rRNA. HBI-6 is the human orthologue of mouse MBI-6 snoRNA. Lineage: Eukaryota; Metazoa; Chordata; Mammalia; Primates; Hominidae. The record is from RNAcentral.
GGUCUCUUAUCUCGGCACCUGAGUGGCUUGCCGCCCACACAACCAAAUUAAAAAAUAACACAGAAGGGUAAGGUAAGUCUCCAUUAAACCCAGGAAAGAGACUGGAAAUCUCCUUUUUGGAUCCUGUCUAUAGUCACAGGU